CGACUCCAUGAAGCUGGAUUCGCUAGUAAUCGCGCAUCAGCCACGGCGCGGUGAAUACGUUCCCGGGCCUUGUACACACCGCCCGUCAAGCCAUGGAAGCCGGGGGUGCCUGAAGUGCGCUGCCGCGAGGAGCGCCCUAGGGUAAAACCGGUGACUGGGGCUAAGUCGUAACAAGGUAUC
RNAcentral lists this ribosomal RNA (180 nucleotides) under uncultured bacterium. RNAcentral's name for it is "partial 16S ribosomal RNA". It matches the Rfam family "Bacterial small subunit ribosomal RNA", at positions 1313 to 1500 of the family's 1533-position model. The record is from RNAcentral.